This is a long non-coding RNA of Hippocampus comes (tiger tail seahorse), 102 nucleotides long. RefSeq lists it as uncharacterized. The record is from RefSeq and is a predicted model, not a curated record. NCBI's taxonomy places the organism in Eukaryota, Metazoa, Chordata, Actinopteri, Syngnathiformes, Syngnathidae. The transcript is spliced from 3 exons.
CCUUGCCAACAGUUGCAACUGACACUUGGACCUUAGCUCCGACAAAGGCUGAAGUGACAGCCGAAACUGUCAUCUAGUUAAGAGUUUUUCUCUUCACUUCAA